This 325-nucleotide ribosomal RNA is filed under the name uncultured bacterium. RNAcentral's name for it is "bacterial SSU rRNA". It matches the Rfam family "Bacterial small subunit ribosomal RNA", at positions 30 to 354 of the family's 1533-position model. The record is from RNAcentral.
AUUGAACGCUGGCGGCAUGCCUUACACAUGCAAGUCGAACGGCAGCACGGGAGCAAUCCUGGUGGCGAGUGGCGAACGGGUGAGUAAUAUAUCGGAACGUCGCCCGGUCGGUGGGGGAUAACGUAGCGAAAGCUACGCUAAUACCGCAUACGAUCUACGGAUGAAAGCGGGGGAUCGCAAGACCUCGCGCGAUUGGAGCGGCCGAUAUCAGAUUAGGUAGUUGGUGAGGUAAAGGCUCACCAAGCCGACGAUCUGUAGCUGGUCUGAGAGGACGACCAGCCACACUGGGACUGAGACACGGCCAGACUCCUACGGGAGGCAGCAG